RNAcentral lists this ribosomal RNA (253 nucleotides) under uncultured bacterium. Its description in RNAcentral is "partial 16S ribosomal RNA". It matches the Rfam family "Bacterial small subunit ribosomal RNA", at positions 524 to 776 of the family's 1533-position model. The record is from RNAcentral.
UACGUAUGGUGCAAGCGUUAUCCGGAUUUACUGGGUGUAAAGGGAGCGUAGGCGGCGCGUUAAGUCUGAUGUGAAAACCCGAGGCUCAACCACGGGAGUGCAUUGGAAACUGGCGAGCUGGAGUGCCGGAGAGGUAAGCGGAAUUCCUAGUGUAGCGGUGAAAUGCGUAGAGAUUAGGAAGAACACCAGUGGCGAAGGCGAUUCUCUGGACUGUAACUGACGCUGAGGCUCGAAAGCGUGGGGAGCAAACAGG